GAUGAACGCUGGCGGCGUGCCUAAUACAUGCAAGUCGAGCGAACAGACGAGGAGCUUGCUCCUCUGACGUUAGCGGCGGACGGGUGAGUAACACGUGGAUAACCUACCUAUAAGACUGGGAUAACUUCGGGAAACCGGAGCUAAUACCGGAUAAUAUAUUGAACCGCAUGGUUCAAUAGUGAAAGACGGUUUUGCUGUCACUUAUAGAUGGAUCCGCGCCGCAUUAGCUAGUUGGUAAGGUAACGGCCUACCAAGGCAACGAUGCGUAGCCGACCUGAGAGGGUAAUCGGCCACACUGGAACUGAGACACGGUCCAGACUCCUACGGGAGGCAGCAGUAGGGAAUCUUCCGCAAUGGGCGAAAGCCUGACGGAGCAACGCCGCGUGAGUGAUGAAGGUCUUCGGAUCGUAAAACUCUGUUAUUAGGGAAGAACAAAUGUGUAAGUAACUAUGCACGUCUUGACGGUACCUAAUCAGAAAGCCACGGCUAACUACGUG
This 497-nucleotide ribosomal RNA is filed under the name uncultured bacterium. Its description in RNAcentral is "partial 16S ribosomal RNA". It matches the Rfam family "Bacterial small subunit ribosomal RNA", at positions 28 to 507 of the family's 1533-position model. The record is from RNAcentral.